UGGGGAAUAUUGGACAAUGGGGGCAACCCUGAUCCAGCAAUGCCGCGUGAGUGAAGAAGGCCUUAGGGUUGUAAAGCUCUUUCGCCCGUGACGAUGAUGACGGUAACGGGAGAAGAAGCCCCGGCUAAUUCCGUGCCAGCAGCCGCGGUAAUACGGAAGGGGCUAGCGUUGUUCGGAUUUACUGGGCGUAAAGCGCAUGUAGGCGGCGGAUCAAGUGGGGCGUGAAAGGCCUGGGCUCAACCUGGGAACUGCGCUUCAGACUGGUUCGCUCGAGUUCGGGAGAGGGUGGUGGAAUUCCCAGUGUAGAGGUGAAAUUCGUAGAUAUUGGGAGGAACACCGGUGGCGAAGGCGGCCACCUGGCCCGAGACUGACGCUCAAGUGCGAAAGCGUGGGGAGCAAACAGG
Molecule: ribosomal RNA, 404 nt
Filed under: uncultured bacterium
Lineage: Bacteria
Description: bacterial SSU rRNA
Rfam family: Bacterial small subunit ribosomal RNA
Source: RNAcentral